Molecule: ribosomal RNA, 253 nt
Filed under: uncultured bacterium
Lineage: Bacteria
Description: partial 16S ribosomal RNA
Rfam family: Bacterial small subunit ribosomal RNA
Source: RNAcentral
UACGAAGGGGGCUAGCGUUGCUCGGAAUCACUGGGCGUAAAGGGUGCGUAGGCGGGGUUUUAAGUCAGGGGUGAAAUCCUGGAGCUCAACUCCAGAACUGCCUUUGAUACUGGAGAGCUUGAGUCCGGAAGAGGUGAGUGGAACUCCGAGUGUAGAGGUGAAAUUCGUAGAUAUUCGGAAGAACACCAGUGGCGAAGGCGGCUCACUGGUCCGGUACUGACGCUGAUGUGCGAAAGCGUGGGGAGCAAACAGG